RNAcentral lists this non-coding RNA (29 nucleotides) under Mus musculus (house mouse). The record is from RNAcentral. RNAcentral also lists the same sequence under 1 other name. Lineage: Eukaryota; Metazoa; Chordata; Mammalia; Rodentia; Muridae.
UUUCCGUAGGUGAACCUGCGGAAGGAUCA